UCCGUAGGUGGUUCAAUCAGUCAGAGGUGAAAUCCUGCAGCUUAACUGUAGAACUGCCUUUGAUACUGUUGAUCUUGAGUCAUUAUGAAGUGGUUAGAAUGUGUAGUGUAGCGGUGAAAUGCAUAGAUAUUACACAGAAUACCGAUUGCGAAGGCAGAUCACUAAUAAUGUACUGACACUGAGGGACGAAAGCGUGGGGAGCGAACAGGAUUAGAUACCUGGUAGUCC
Molecule: ribosomal RNA, 228 nt
Filed under: uncultured bacterium
Lineage: Bacteria
Description: partial 16S ribosomal RNA
Rfam family: Bacterial small subunit ribosomal RNA
Source: RNAcentral